UUGUUCGGGUAAGGAGUUAGCUUUUGGACCGACGGGAGGACGUAUUAGUUAGACUGUAGUAGCGAUCGUCACCCUCGUUAUGUUUUAUUUUCGCUUCUAGUAGUUUUAAUAAUUAAAUGGUUCAAUUAGAUGAUCAAUAUGAAUGUUUGAAUGUUCGUGAACUGGUUUGAGUUGAUGUUUUUCUAUUAUACAUACGAUGGGAGAUUUAUGAAUGUAUGGUUUUGGAUUUACGUAUUUAUGUAUCGUGGUUUUCUACCCCUCGAGAUAGUUGGUUUUCAAAAUGGAGUUUUCGAGUGGGAAAUAGUUUUAAAAGGUUUUCAAAUAUUUUUAUGGAGGAUUCUAUAGAGUUUAAAAAUAAAGCUUCCGGAUGAGGAGCACUUUUAAAUAGGAUGACUGUUGUACUGUGCAUCGCAUCAUCCAGCGCCUAAGGAGUGCUUAGAGACAUGCAUUAUCUCUAAGGAUCGCUAGCUGUAUGAAAAUGUAUCGCACGAAUUGUUUGUCUAUUGGUGAAUGUAAGUUGUUGUUGUGAUCCUGAUAUUGUUGUUGGUACGCCGUGCAAAUACAAAGGAGACUCUGUCCGU
RNAcentral lists this long non-coding RNA (581 nucleotides) under Ananas comosus (pineapple). RNAcentral describes it as "long non-coding RNA (ACOM_LNC027820)". The record is from RNAcentral. Lineage: Eukaryota; Viridiplantae; Streptophyta; Magnoliopsida; Poales; Bromeliaceae.